RNAcentral lists this long non-coding RNA (225 nucleotides) under Oncorhynchus kisutch (coho salmon). Its description in RNAcentral is "lncRNA (ENSOKIG00005006468.1)". Lineage: Eukaryota; Metazoa; Chordata; Actinopteri; Salmoniformes; Salmonidae. The record is from RNAcentral.
GUCCAAUUUGAGAUGUUUUACAAACACGACUGAUCAAACUGCAAUGGCACAAGGAUUACUAUCACGUGUGAAGAUUUCUUGAAGCUGAACGUACACCAACUUCUUCUCACGUGGUGGCUCUUGUUUUCCUGGAGGAAAUAAACCUGCGUUUUGACAUCUCUGGACUGGAUUCCUUCCCCUCCUGAGACAGACGGACAACAACCACAUGUUUUCACCCUCGGGGAU